This 2913-nucleotide ribosomal RNA is filed under the name Enterobacter bugandensis. Its description in RNAcentral is "23S ribosomal RNA". It matches the Rfam family "Bacterial large subunit ribosomal RNA". The record is from RNAcentral. Lineage: Bacteria; Pseudomonadati; Pseudomonadota; Gammaproteobacteria; Enterobacterales; Enterobacteriaceae.
GGUUAAGCGACUAAGCGUACACGGUGGAUGCCCUGGCAGUCAGAGGCGAUGAAGGACGUGCUAAUCUGCGAAAAGCGACGGCGAGGUGAUAUGAACCUUUGACCCGUCGAUGUCCGAAUGGGGAAACCCAGUGCAAUCCGUUGCACUAUCGUUAACUGAAUACAUAGGUUAACGAGGCGAACCGGGGGAACUGAAACAUCUAAGUACCCCGAGGAAAAGAAAUCAACCGAGAUUCCCCCAGUAGCGGCGAGCGAACGGGGAGCAGCCCGGAGUCUGAAUCAGCUUGUGUGUUAGUGGAAGCGUCUGGAAAGUCGCACGGUACAGGGUGACAGUCCCGUACACGAAAAUGCACAGGUUGUGAACUCGAAGAGUAGGGCGGGACACGUGGUAUCCUGUCUGAAUAUGGGGGGACCAUCCUCCAAGGCUAAAUACUCCUGACUGACCGAUAGUGAACCAGUACCGUGAGGGAAAGGCGAAAAGAACCCCGGCGAGGGGAGUGAAAAAGAACCUGAAACCGUGUACGUACAAGCAGUGGGAGCACCUUCGGGUGUGACUGCGUACCUUUUGUAUAAUGGGUCAGCGACUUAUAUUCUGUAGCAAGGUUAACCGUAUAGGGGAGCCGCAGGGAAACCGAGUCUUAACUGGGCGUUAAGUUGCAGGGUAUAGACCCGAAACCCGGUGAUCUAGCCAUGGGCAGGUUGAAGGUUGGGUAACACUAACUGGAGGACCGAACCGACUAAUGUUGAAAAAUUAGCGGAUGACCUGUGGCUGGGGGUGAAAGGCCAAUCAAACCGGGAGAUAGCUGGUUCUCCCCGAAAGCUAUUUAGGUAGCGCCUCGUGAACUCAUCUUCGGGGGUAGAGCACUGUUUCGGCUAGGGGGCCAUCCCGGCUUACCAACCCGAUGCAAACUACGAAUACCGAAGAAUGUUAUCACGGGAGACACACGGCGGGUGCUAACGUCCGUCGUGAAGAGGGAAACAACCCAGACCGCCAGCUAAGGUCCCAAAGUCAUGGUUAAGUGGGAAACGAUGUGGGAAGGCACAGACAGCCAGGAUGUUGGCUUAGAAGCAGCCAUCAUCAUUUAAAGAAAGCGUAAUAGCUCACUGGUCGAGUCGGCCUGCGCGGAAGAUGUAACGGGGCUAAACCAUGCACCGAAGCUGCGGCAGCGACACUUAGGUGUUGUUGGGUAGGGGAGCGUUCUGUAAGCCGUUGAAGGUGUGCUGUGAGGCAUGCUGGAGGUAUCAGAAGUGCGAAUGCUGACAUAAGUAACGAUAAAGCGGGUGAAAAGCCCGCUCGCCGGAAGACCAAGGGUUCCUGUCCAACGUUAAUCGGGGCAGGGUGAGUCGACCCCUAAGGCGAGGCCGAAAGGCGUAGUCGAUGGGAAACAGGUUAAUAUUCCUGUACUUGGUGUUACUGCGAAGGGGGGACGGAGAAGGCUAUGUCAGCCGGGCGACGGUUGUCCCGGUUUAAGCGUGUAGGUGUGUGUUCCAGGCAAAUCCGGUUCACUUUAACACUGAGGCGUGAUGACGAGGCACUACGGUGCUGAAGUGAUAAAUGCCCUGCUUCCAGGAAAAGCCUCUAAGCAUCAGGUAACACGAAAUCGUACCCCAAACCGACACAGGUGGUCAGGUAGAGAAUACCAAGGCGCUUGAGAGAACUCGGGUGAAGGAACUAGGCAAAAUGGUGCCGUAACUUCGGGAGAAGGCACGCUGAUAUGUAGGUGAAGCCCCUGCGGGCGGAGCUGAAAUCAGUCGAAGAUACCAGCUGGCUGCAACUGUUUAUUAAAAACACAGCACUGUGCAAACACGAAAGUGGACGUAUACGGUGUGACGCCUGCCCGGUGCCGGAAGGUUAAUUGAUGGGGUUAGCGGCAACGCGAAGCUCUUGAUCGAAGCCCCGGUAAACGGCGGCCGUAACUAUAACGGUCCUAAGGUAGCGAAAUUCCUUGUCGGGUAAGUUCCGACCUGCACGAAUGGCGUAAUGAUGGCCAGGCUGUCUCCACCCGAGACUCAGUGAAAUUGAACUCGCUGUGAAGAUGCAGUGUACCCGCGGCAAGACGGAAAGACCCCGUGAACCUUUACUAUAGCUUGACACUGACACUGAACACUGGUCCUUGAUGUGUAGGAUAGGUGGGAGGCUUUGAAGCGUGGACGCCAGUCUGCGUGGAGCCAUCCUUGAAAUACCACCCUUUAAUGGCUGGUGUUCUAACGUGGACCCGUGAUCCGGGUUGCGGACAGUGUCUGGUGGGUAGUUUGACUGGGGCGGUCUCCUCCCAAAGAGUAACGGAGGAGCACGAAGGUUAGCUAAUCCUGGUCGGACAUCAGGAGGUUAGUGCAAUGGCAUAAGCUAGCUUGACUGCGAGAGUGACGGCUCGAGCAGGUGCGAAAGCAGGUCAUAGUGAUCCGGUGGUUCUGAAUGGAAGGGCCAUCGCUCAACGGAUAAAAGGUACUCCGGGGAUAACAGGCUGAUACCGCCCAAGAGUUCAUAUCGACGGCGGUGUUUGGCACCUCGAUGUCGGCUCAUCACAUCCUGGGGCUGAAGUAGGUCCCAAGGGUAUGGCUGUUCGCCAUUUAAAGUGGUACGCGAGCUGGGUUUAGAACGUCGUGAGACAGUUCGGUCCCUAUCUGCCGUGGGCGCUGGAGAAUUGAGGGGGGCUGCUCCUAGUACGAGAGGACCGGAGUGGACGCAUCACUGGUGUUCGGGUUGUCAUGCCAAUGGCACUGCCCGGUAGCUAAAUGCGGAAGAGAUAAGUGCUGAAAGCAUCUAAGCACGAAACUUGCCCCGAGAUGAGUUCUCCCUGAGACUUUAAGUCUCCUGAAGGAACGUUGAAGACGACGACGUUGAUAGGCCGGGUGUGUAAGCGCAGCGAUGCGUUGAGCUAACCGGUACUAAUGAACCGUGAGGCUUAACCUU